This 111-nucleotide non-coding RNA is filed under the name uncultured Ruminococcus sp. RNAcentral's name for it is "FMN riboswitch (RFN element)". It matches the Rfam family "FMN riboswitch aptamer (RFN element)". Rfam says of the family: The RFN element is a highly conserved domain that is found frequently in the 5'-untranslated regions of prokaryotic mRNAs that encode for flavin mononucleotide (FMN) biosynthesis and transport proteins. This element is a metabolite-dependent riboswitch that directly binds FMN in the absence of proteins. In Bacillus subtilis, the riboswitch most likely controls gene expression by causing premature transcription termination within the 5' untranslated region of the ribDEAHT operon and precluding access to the ribosome-binding site of ypaA mRNA. Lineage: Bacteria; Bacillati; Bacillota; Clostridia; Eubacteriales; Oscillospiraceae. The record is from RNAcentral.
UUAUCUUCAGGGCAGAGUGAAAGUCUCUACCGGCAGUUAUAGUCUGCGAGCCUAUGGGUUGAUUUGGUGAAAUUCCAAAACCGACGGUUAUAGUCCGGAUAAGAGAAGAUA